Molecule: long non-coding RNA, 1072 nt
Filed under: Equus caballus (horse)
Lineage: Eukaryota; Metazoa; Chordata; Mammalia; Perissodactyla; Equidae
Description: lncRNA (ENSECAG00000057581.1)
Source: RNAcentral
CCCCAGAGAGCAGUGGAUAAAUGCCAUUAUCCAGGCCGACGAAACCAGUUAGGAGCCAUGUUAGGAAAAAUUAAAAGAAAAACAAAAACCUGAUGGAGGAGAUCUCAAAAUGGAACUUUUAACCUUGAUAGCCAUCUAGAGUAAGCGAAUUUCAUGGCUGGAAGCCAUCACUCCAUCUGUCUGUUGCCUGCACGUUUGGGAUCUGGUAACAGGACCACAAGAAAACUCUUGCAGCAAACUGAAGGUUUCUAUUUCAGAUCCUUCCACCACCUUCACCACCAUCAUUUCCAUAAUCCACCACCACCAUCACCACUAUCAUCACUACUACCUUCAUCACCACCUCUCAAUACCUCCAUCAUCACCACCCACCAUCAUCACCUCCACCACCAUGAGCACCACAUCUACCAUCAAAAAAGAGUUUAUUUCCCAGCUCUUUGACUCUUGACGCUGGGUUGGCCAUGUGACUUCUCUGGCUAAUAGGAUAUUAACAAAUGUGAUGCAAGCAGUGGCUUGAAAAAAGCAUGCACUUUGGAGUUUGCCCUCUCUUGUUGAUCUGGGAACCCUGCCACUACCACCACGUGAUCUAAUCUGGGCUGGCCUGCUGGAGGAUAACCGAUCAUGUGGAGCAGAGAUGAGCUAGUCCAGCUCCAGCCCUACGAGACUAAUCAGCCCGCCAAUCAGCAGAUACAUGAGAGACCAUUCUGGACCAUCCAGACCCUGCUCAGCUGGCCGAGGCCUGAACACCCCCCAGGUUGAGAGACUAGAGAUUCAUGAUAAAUAAUAAAAUAUUUAUUGUUUGAAGCCACAAAAUGUUGUGGUGGUUUGUUAUAGAGCAAAAGCUGGCUGAUACAGGGACCGUAUCUCACUGAGUUUUAUUUUCCUCUUUUCUCUUUAUCCAUUCCAAAAAGUUUGGGUAAAACGUUUGGUUUAUUGGAGCCAGUUAUCAUAAACACACGAUCUUUCACUUUCUUCCAAUUCUAAAAGCUCUGAUUGUCUUAUAUUAGUAAGCUUCCUGUCUCAGUUAUGGUCUUUACAGAAGAAAGGGGCUGGGGCUAAAGGUAGUAGAAACGAG